GAUCUAUGGAUGAAAGUGGGGGAUCGCAAGACCUCAUGCUCCUGGAGCGGCCGAUAUCUGAUUAGCUAGUUGGUGAGGUAAAGGCUCACCAAGGCGACGAUCAGUAGCUGGUCUGAGAGGACGACCAGCCACACUGGAACUGAGACACGGUCCAGACUCCUACGGGAGGCAGCAGUGGGGAAUUUUGGACAAUGGGCGCAAGCCUGAUCCAGCAAUGCCGCGUGAGUGAAGAAGGCCUUCGGGUUGUAAAGCUCUUUUGUCAGGGAAGAAACGGCUGAGGCUAAUAUCCUCGGCUAAUGACGGUACCUGAAGAAUAAGCACCGGCUAACUACGUGCCAGCAGCCGCGGUAAUACGUAGGGUGCAAGCGUUAAUCGGAAUUACUGGGCGUAAAGCGUGCGCAGGCGGUUUUGUAAGUCUGUCGUGAAAGCCCCGGGCUCAACCUGGGAAUUGCGAUGGAGACUGCAAGGCUUGAAUCUGGCAGAGGGGGGUAGAAUUCCACGUGUAGCAGUGAAAUGCGUAGAGAUGUGGAGGAACACCGAUGGCGAAGGCAGCCCCCUGGGUCAAGAUUGACGCUCAUGCACGAAAGCGUGGGGAGCAAACAGGAUUAGAUACCCUGGUAGUCCACGCCCUAAACGAUGUCUACUAGUUGUCGGGUCUUAAUUGACUUGGUAACGCAGCUAACGCGUGAAGUAGACCGCCUGGGGAGUACGGUCGC
This 716-nucleotide ribosomal RNA is filed under the name Massilia sp. 62AD11. RNAcentral's name for it is "bacterial SSU rRNA". It matches the Rfam family "Bacterial small subunit ribosomal RNA", at positions 191 to 889 of the family's 1533-position model. Lineage: Bacteria; Pseudomonadati; Pseudomonadota; Betaproteobacteria; Burkholderiales; Oxalobacteraceae. The record is from RNAcentral.